UGCAGGGAUGAACAACCUGAUAGGGACAGCUGAUGCCACAUGGCAGCUGCUGCGAACCAGGGAGAGUAUUUUAGUAGAUGCUUCUCUUGUCUGAAC
Hortaea werneckii EXF-2000 is the source of this 96-nucleotide non-coding RNA. The record is from Rfam. NCBI's taxonomy places the organism in Eukaryota, Fungi, Ascomycota, Dothideomycetes, Mycosphaerellales, Teratosphaeriaceae.